UACGGAGGGGGCUAGCGUUGUUCGGAAUUACUGGGCGUAAAGCGCGCGUAGGCGGACCUGCAAGUCGGGGGUGAAAGCCCGAGGCUUAACCUCGGAACUGCCUUCGAUACUGCGGGUCUCGAGUCCGGGAGAGGUGAGUGGAAUUCCUAGUGUAGAGGUGAAAUUCGUAGAUAUUAGGAGGAACACCAGUGGCGAAGGCGGCUUACUGGACUGUAACUGGCACUGAGGCUCGAAAGCGUGGGGAGCAAACAGG
Molecule: ribosomal RNA, 253 nt
Filed under: uncultured bacterium
Lineage: Bacteria
Description: partial 16S ribosomal RNA
Rfam family: Bacterial small subunit ribosomal RNA
Source: RNAcentral